GCGGGGGUAGCUCAAUUGGUAGAGUGUCAGCCUUCCAAGCUGAAUGUUGCGGGUUCGAGCCCCGUUCCCCGCUCCA
Molecule: transfer RNA, 76 nt
Filed under: Candidatus Desantisbacteria bacterium CG2_30_40_21
Lineage: Bacteria; Candidatus Desantisiibacteriota
Also listed under: 4 other names
Description: tRNA-Gly
Rfam family: tRNA
About the family: Transfer RNA (tRNA) molecules are approximately 80 nucleotides in length. Their secondary structure includes four short double-helical elements and three loops (D, anti-codon, and T loops).
Source: RNAcentral